This 69-nucleotide transfer RNA is filed under the name Odontobutis platycephala. RNAcentral describes it as "tRNA-Arg". It matches the Rfam family "tRNA". Rfam says of the family: Transfer RNA (tRNA) molecules are approximately 80 nucleotides in length. Their secondary structure includes four short double-helical elements and three loops (D, anti-codon, and T loops). Further hydrogen bonds mediate the characteristic L-shaped molecular structure. tRNAs have two regions of fundamental functional importance: the anti-codon, which is responsible for specific mRNA codon recognition, and the 3' end, to which the tRNAs corresponding amino acid is attached (by aminoacyl-tRNA synthetases). tRNAs cope with the degeneracy of the genetic code in two manners: having more than one tRNA (with a specific anti-codon) for a particular amino acid; and 'wobble' base-pairing, i.e. permitting non-standard base-pairing at the 3rd anti-codon position. Lineage: Eukaryota; Metazoa; Chordata; Actinopteri; Gobiiformes; Odontobutidae. The record is from RNAcentral.
AGGUAAUUAUUUUAAUUAAAAUAUUUGAUUCCGACUCAAAAGCUUAUGGUUUAAACCCACAAUUACCCA